This 582-nucleotide ribosomal RNA is filed under the name Triticum aestivum (bread wheat). Its description in RNAcentral is "partial small subunit ribosomal RNA". Lineage: Eukaryota; Viridiplantae; Streptophyta; Magnoliopsida; Poales; Poaceae. The record is from RNAcentral.
AUGCGCCCCUUCAAAACCUGUGUUGGACGUACCCACAUGGCCAUUGAGGUCUCCUCCUAUGAAGAGCUUCUCACCAAUUGGUACAUUCCUAACCAUGUCUUCCAGGCCUUCCCUGAACUCCCUCUUGGUGUUCUCAUUGUGGCCUACUUGCGGGGCAUACGCGCUGAUAACAUUGAGAACCAAGUCCUCACUUACCAGCUUGACCAGGAUAAUCCGGUCCCCACGUCUCUUGACAUCUACCACUCCAUACUUGAGGCUCUUGUUGAUCAAGAUGCCUACGCCAUUUCUGUUUGUAGCCGUCCCCGUGUACCACAACUUAAAGCCGGUAUCCUCCACCUCCUCCGCCUUCUGUCCUCUCCAUUUGGUUUCUUGGACGCAAAGGAUAUCAACAGCUCUCCUCACCAAGGAAGGAGAGGUAAUCUUGGAGCAAGACCGCCACAACAACAUGUUGUUCAACGUGCUUCAAGAAGGCCAAUUUAUGUUGAAGCUUCUGGAGGUGAAGAAUAUGAUGAUGCCCUUGAAGAACCAAAUCUCUACGCAUAUCGGAGAGCACCCAACCCUACAUAUGCAAGAGAUACAUAG